This 465-nucleotide ribosomal RNA is filed under the name Vreelandella stevensii. RNAcentral's name for it is "partial 16S ribosomal RNA". It matches the Rfam family "Bacterial small subunit ribosomal RNA", at positions 338 to 795 of the family's 1533-position model. Lineage: Bacteria; Pseudomonadati; Pseudomonadota; Gammaproteobacteria; Oceanospirillales; Halomonadaceae. The record is from RNAcentral.
CCUACGGGUGGCAGCAGUGGGGAAUAUUGGACAAUGGGCGAAAGCCUGGUCCAGCCAUGCCGCGUGUGUGAAGAAGGCCUUCGGGUUGUAAAGCACUUUCAGUGGGGAAGAAAGCCUUGGGGCUAAUACCCUCGAGGAAGGACAUCACCCACAGAAGAAGCACCGGCUAACUCCGUGCCAGCAGCCGCGGUAAUACGGAGGGUGCGAGCGUUAAUCGGAAUUACUGGGCGUAAAGCGCGCGUAGGCGGUCUGAUAAGCCGGUUGUGAAAGCCCCGGGCUCAACCUGGGAACGGCAUCCGGAACUGUCAGGCUAGAGUGCAGGAGAGGAAGGUAGAAUUCCCGGUGUAGCGGUGAAAUGCGUAGAGAUCGGGAGGAAUACCAGUGGCGAAGGCGGCCUUCUGGACUGACACUGACGCUGAGGUGCGAAAGCGUGGGUAGCAAACAGGAUUAGAUACCCGGGUAGUC